AGGGUUGUAGCUCAGUGGUAGAGCGCUUGUCUUGCAUGCGUGAGGCACUGGGUUCAAUCCUCAGCACCACAU
Molecule: transfer RNA, 72 nt
Filed under: Ictidomys tridecemlineatus (thirteen-lined ground squirrel)
Lineage: Eukaryota; Metazoa; Chordata; Mammalia; Rodentia; Sciuridae
Description: Spermophilus tridecemlineatus (thirteen-lined ground squirrel) tRNA
Rfam family: tRNA
About the family: Transfer RNA (tRNA) molecules are approximately 80 nucleotides in length.
Source: Rfam by way of RNAcentral